AUGGCCGCGCCGCACGCCACGCUGCCCCCGGCGACAGCAAGCCCGCCGCCGCGCCGCGGCCUCCGGCGCGAGACGGCGGAGGUGGUGCGCGACUGCAAGAGGCUGGACGGGCUCAUGAAGGCCGGCAGGCUGGCGGACGCCCUGGACCUGUUCGACCGGAUGCCGCGCAAGAACGUCGUGGCCUGGACCUCGGCCGUGUCCGGGCUGGCACGCAACGGGCGCCCCGAGGCCGCGAUCGAGAUGUUCGCGGACAUGGCGGAGUCCGGCGUCGCGCCGAACGACUUCGCGUGCAACGCGGCGCUGGCGGCGUGCGCGGCCGCGGGCGCGCUCCGCGCCGGGGAGCAGCUGCACUCGCUCGCCGUGCGUGCGGGGCUCGCCGGGGACGCGUGGGUUGGGAGCUGCCUGGUCGAGCUCUACGCGCGGUGCGGCUCCACGCGAGCGGCCGAGGCCGUGCUGGCCCGGAUGGAGUCGCCGGACGUCGUGGCGUACACCUCGCUCGUCUCGGCCUUCUGCCGGAGCGGCGAGUUCAAGCGAGCAGCGGAGGCACUCAGCCAGAUGAUGGAGCGGGGAGUGGAGCCGAACGAGCACACGGUGACGAGCAUCCUGGCGGCGGCGUGCUGCCCGCUGGUUCUCGGCGUGCAGAUACAUGGCUACAUGAUCAAGGCGAUGGGCUCGUCACAGAGCGUCUACGCGUGGAGCGCGCUGAUCGAUUUCUACUCAAGAAAUGGUGAGCUCGACAUGGCAAAGACGGUGUUCGACAGCCUCCAGUGCAAGAACGUGGUCACCUGGUGCACCAUGAUGCAGCUGCACAUCAGAGAUGGUAGGCCGGAGGAUGCACUGCAGCUGUUCGACGAAAUGAUCUCGGAGGGCAUUGUUGAUCCAAACGAGUUUGCAUUCUCGAUCGCUCUUGGUGCCUGUGAGUCCAUCGCUCUGGGGAGUCAGCUUCACUCUUUGGCCAUCAAACGUGACCUGGCGAGUGAUCUCCGGGUGUCGAAUGCCCUGCUUUCCAUGUAUGGCAGGAGCGGCCUCGUCGAAGAGCUCGAGGCCGUGCUCCGCGGCAUCGAGGAUCCAGACAUUGUCAGCUGGACAGCAGCAAUCUCUGCAUACUUCCAGAACGGCCAUGGUGAGAAGGCCAUAGCACUGCUCUCCCAGAUGCACUCACAAGGUCUCAUGCCAAACGACUAUGCCUUUUCCAGCGUGCUAAGCUCCUGCGCAGACCUGGCAUUGCUGGACCAAGGGAGUCAGUUCCAUUGCCUAGCCCUGAAGCUAGGGUGCGACAUGAAGAUCUGCACGGGGAACGCGUUGAUCAACAUGUACUCCAAGUGCGGCCAGAUCGUGCCCGCGAGGCUCGUGUUCAACGUCAUGGAUCACCGUGAUGUGACGUCCUGGAACUCGCUGAUCCACGGGUACGCGCAGCACGGUGAGGUGGACAUGGCAUUGAAGGCGUUCAGCGAGAUGUGUUCCAUUGGCGGUGAGCCCAAUGAGUCGACGCUCCUGGGAAUCCUAGCAGCUUGCAACCACGCCGGGAUGGUGGAUGAAGGUGUGGCAUUCUUCAGAUCAGCAAUGGCCGGCCGGUAUGGCGCCUUCCUGACACCCUCACACUAUGCCUGCGCGGUCGACAUGCUGGGCCGUAGUGGCAGGUUCGACGACGCCCUCUGCCUGAUCGAGGAGAUGCCUUUUGAGCCCGACGUCCUAGUGUGGAAGACGAUGUUGGCGUCAUGCAGGCUGCACGGCAACCUGGAGACGGGGAGGCUCGCCGCCGAAAAGCUCGUGGAGCUCUCAGGCCAGGACUCGGCAAGCUACGUGCUGAUGUCUGGCAUACAUGCGAUGCACGGGGAGUGGCGCGACGCCGACAUGGUGCGGCGCAGGAUGGACGAGGCUGGGGUGAAGAAGGAGGCCGGGAUCAGCUGGGUGGAGGUCAGGAACGAGGUGCACGCCUUCGUAGCCCAGGACGCGUCUCACCCGGACUCGCCGUCCAUCUACCGAAUGCUCUGGGAAUUGUCUAAUGCCAUGCGAGAUACAGCCUAUGAUGAAGAUGUUGAAUUGUUGGAUGUACAUAUGCAGAUUUAG
RNAcentral lists this ribosomal RNA (2070 nucleotides) under Triticum aestivum (bread wheat). RNAcentral's name for it is "partial small subunit ribosomal RNA". Lineage: Eukaryota; Viridiplantae; Streptophyta; Magnoliopsida; Poales; Poaceae. The record is from RNAcentral.